GCCUGUUCGAGCGUCAUUUGACACCUCAAGCUCUGCUUGGUAUUGGGUCGCGGCCUGUCGGGCCCACCCGUAACUCGUUGGCGGUGACCGUCGGCUCCUAGCGUAGCAGAAAUCUCGCUCGGAAGUCGGUGGGUGCUGUCAGACACAACCAAACCCCAAAGUUUGACCUCGGAUCAGGUAGGGAUACCCGCUGAACUUAA
Molecule: unclassified non-coding RNA, 200 nt
Filed under: soil metagenome
Description: partial contains internal transcribed spacer 2 and large subunit ribosomal RNA
Source: RNAcentral